AAUAUUGCACAAUGGGGGAAACCCUGAUGCAGCGACGCCGCGUGAGUGAAGAAGUAUUUCGGUAUGUAAAGCUCUAUCAGCAGGGAAGAAAAUGACGGUACCUGACUAAGAAGCCCCGGCUAACUACGUGCCAGCAGCCGCGGUAAUACGUAGGGGGCAAGCGUUAUCCGGAUUUACUGGGUGUAAAGGGAGCGUAGGUGGCGAGUCAAGUCGGAUGUGAAAGCUCGGGUGUCAACCCCGGGAUUGCAUUUGAAACUGGUUUGCUAGAGUUCAGGAGAGUUAAGUGGAAUUACUAGUGUGGCGGUGAAAUGCGUAGUUAUUAGGAGGAACACCAGUGGCAAAGGCGGCUUACUGGACUGUAACUGACACUGAGGAUCGAAUGCGUGGGGAGCAAACA
This 397-nucleotide ribosomal RNA is filed under the name uncultured bacterium. RNAcentral describes it as "partial 16S ribosomal RNA". It matches the Rfam family "Bacterial small subunit ribosomal RNA", at positions 360 to 774 of the family's 1533-position model. The record is from RNAcentral.